UCCAUUAGAAAUACUUUGUUGGAAAACACAUAGCCUACCUACAUGAAAGAAUACUCUUUCAGUUUUUCAUGUCAUUUGCUACUUACUUUCUCAUUCAAUUAUUAUAAUUUAACAAUUCAAGUUGUCCUAUCAAAGUACUAUACUACAUCAUAAAUAGACAUAAACUAUGUAUACUUGUUAAUUAUUGGGCAAACAUGAGAUUCUACAAUAAUAUUUAGACAAUUUGGAACUAAAUUAGGAGGUUGAAAAAGUUUUGGGCAAUAGCCCAAACUUUUUUUCUUUCCCGAUCUUUGUAUUAUUUAAGCUAACCUAAUAAAUAAAUAAUAUCUAACGGUUUCAUGUAGGAUAUUGAUUAAAUCCAAAUCUCAAAAUCCAUAGAAGUUGGCUACAAUUUGCUAGCAAUAAAUAAUUCGCUUUAUUAAAGACCUACUAUCCACGAAUGCAACAUAUUAUUAAAACUUCCUUCAAUUAAGAUUUCUUAAUUCUUUAGUAACUAGCAAUAAAAUGAGUAAUGGAAUAUCAUAUAAUAUUUCUUAUUUAUAUAAGAACUAAGUUAUACAUUUCUAUUACAACUGAAGUGAAAUGUAGAAAUUUUGUUUGAUCAUAAUUUAGUGAUCGUUUAUUUUUCCUACUCAAAUUUUUAAUUAAGUUUUUAAAUUAAGUUUACAGAGAAUUAAAAUUUUUGUUUGCUAUGCACAAACUUAUAUCAUUGGCAUACAUACAAAAUUUGUUAUCAAGGACUCAUUUUGGAAACUCCCCCUUCCCACCAAUAGAUUUAUUGUUUUUGUAUUAGACUAUGUUAUUUUAAUAUGUAUUUUGGACACGAUCCAUCCGUGAAUGCAUGGGCAUUUACUUUGUGAAACGAGAAGCGCUCUUAGAAAGAUUAUUAUUAUUAAUGUACAUUAUUAUUUAAUUUUGUAAUAAUUAGAAGUUUUAUUUUUAUCGAUAAUACGGCGCAUUCUCACUGACCUCUUGUUGAAACUAAUGUAUGGCUGGUGAACAAUAUAAUAUCUAGUAUCAGGUCUGUUUUUUUUCAGUAUCAACCUAUCAAAUCUAAUCUACUCAAACAAUUUUUCUAAAAUUAAUGCUGAAUCUUUUCAUUGAGUUUUUAGAGAAUUUAAUAUAUUGUCUACUAUGCACAAACUUCUAUCUUCAGCAUACAUACAAAAUUUGGUAUUUUGAUAGCAUCGAGGACACAUUUUGGUAAACACCGCCCUUCCCCCACCAAUAGAUUUAACCUUUGCUAUUUGAGACUAUUGAUAUUUAUUCAAUUAUGACUAUUCAUUGUUAUACCCUAUGUAUUUAGGAUACGAUCCAUUCAUGGAUGCCUAGGCAACGUGUAACGAGAGGCGCUCUAAGAAAGAUUAUUAUUAAUAAUAAUAUUGUACAUUAUUAUUUAAUUUCGAAAUUUUCUCUUUUCAGAUAAUGUAGCACAUGCUCACUGAUAUCUUGUUGAAACUUGCUGCUGGUUGAAACUGAUGUAUGUCUGGUUAACAUUUUAUCAAGUAUCAGAAACGCAAAGUGCCAGUAAUAUCGGCCCCCUCAUUACUGCUGAGUAACCGAGAAAGCUUUCCAAAAGACAAAGUUGUUCAACGACAACAAAACAUGUCACAAAGUCCGCAUCGUAGUCGGCUCAUCGUGUGUGUUGGUUUUCAUACUGCAUUUAAGAAACAUUCUAAUAAAAAUAUCAAAUAAUAACAUUGUUAUUAACGUAGACAUUAUGCAAUCUGUUUAUAAAAUGUAAUCUAUUCUAUUUUGUACUUUACAAGAUACCUAUAAUUCUAUUCGUGUUCAUUUGUGCUUUAAAUAACAACGUUAAAUUCAAAAUUGUAGUAGAUACAUUUUUUUGUACUCAAAAUAGUGUGUGAAUUAACUUAUCAUUUACAUAACCUUUAGACUAUGUAUUCCAAUAAUUGAGGUUUAGAACAGUUUGGGGUGAAUGCCUGUUGUGUUUACCUUAAUCGUAUUUGUAUAUAAAUAAAUUAUGGUAGUAAUUAAUUUAGUAUAUAAUCCCCUGGGCACAAUAGUGUGAAAUGCGACGGGAGCGUGAAAACAUUUUAGCCAUGGUUGAAAUUUUUAGAACAUCAAAACCCAAUCGAUGUCUAGGAAAGAUUGUGGUAUCUGGAAAGAUUUUGAUUGCUUACUGAAUGUUCAGAAGAUAAAUUAUGUUUGUCAGUUUUCAGCGAAAUUGUUAAUAUUUCAUUUUAUCGAUAGUGUAGUGAGAAAUCAUCAAAAUUUUCUUCGGAAGAAUUCGUUAGUAUUUUUAUGAUCUACAGCUCAAAAAAUGUCGCGCGCCGAUAGUUCGAUUCAAAUUUCCCACUUCGACUAGCAUUGGCGGCGCUCUUCGCAAUUGGCCAAACUUUCGCGCCAAGGCAAAUGAUUCGUCGGCCGUGCAGGCAAGUCGCCGGGCUAUUAUAUUCAAUUUGGAUACGGUUUUAUCAGAGUAAUAGUUCAGAUACUAUAAAGCAGCCCUUUUAUUCUUAUAGUUAUUGUAAUAUUGGAUAUCACAACACUUAUUCACUCCAUUUAUUACUAAAUAAGACAUAUUGAUUAUCAAUUCAAAUUUAUAUUAUUAGUACCAUUUCCAAGAUUACGUAUUGAGAGUGUUUAUCUCAACUUAUUAUGUUGUAUCCUCACAAUUUUCGUUCCGAGAAGUUCAACCUUCCUUCUUUCUCUUUCUUCUUCAGUUUCUUCUCCCUUCAUCAUCAUCAUCUACCUUUUUCUGAUUCCUGUUUCCUCCUUUCUCGUUCUUCUUCCCUUCGGUUUUUUUGGUGUCUUCUCGUUUCCUCCUCAUGUCUCUUUUUCUGAUUUCCUUCUUCUUCUUAUCUUGAUCUCCCCUUUCUCCUCUUUCACAUUUCUUCUCCUCCCGUACAAGCCAGCUUGGUACUCUUCUAUAAAUUUUUAUGUUUCGUUACAUUACCUCUCACUUUUUUAUUCCAGGCUUAAUAAGUUUCUCUUCACUAUCUAUCUCUUUCUCAAUUUUUCUAUCCCCAUUCAAUCAACUUUUUUCUCCAUAUUUAUUUACUAUUGGUCCCAAUCUCUCUUCUUCCGAUUCCUAUUUCCUUUACUAUUAAUAUAUAUCCCGCUCCUCUUCUUCAUUUUCAAUUAUUGACCACAAAAAAGAACAAAGUAGAUCAGUAACGUUAAACUUUUCAAAGACAUGAAGUAGGCCUAUAUUCACAGUAUAUAUUUACAUUGAAGUAUAUAAUAAAAGAAUUGCUUCAUCAUCAAA
This is a long non-coding RNA of Nilaparvata lugens (brown planthopper), 3232 nucleotides long. RefSeq lists it as uncharacterized. The transcript is spliced from 3 exons. Lineage: Eukaryota; Metazoa; Arthropoda; Insecta; Hemiptera; Delphacidae. The record is from RefSeq and is a predicted model, not a curated record.